UCUAGUAUAGCAUUAUACCGUGAAACUGCGAAUGGCUCAUUAAAUCAGUUAUCGUUUAUUUGAUAAUACCUUACUACUUGGAUAACCGUGGUAAUUCUAGAGCUAAUACAUGCUGAAAAUCCCGACUUCGGAAGGGAUGUGUUUAUUAGAUAAAAAACCAAUGCCCUUCGGGGCUCUUUGGUGAUUCAUGAUAACUUUACGGAUCGCAUAGCCUUGCGCUGGCGACGGUUCAUUCAAAUUUCUGCCCUAUCAACUUUCGAUGGUAAGGUAUUGGCUUACCAUGGUUUCAACGGGUAACGGGGAAUUAGGGUUCGAUUCCGGAGAGGGAGCCUGAGAAACGGCUACCACAUCCAAGGAAGGCAGCAGGCGCGCAAAUUACCCAAUCCCGACACGGGGAGGUAGUGACAAUAAAUACUGAUACAGGGCUCUUUUGGGUCUUGUAAUUGGAAUGAGUACAAUUUAAACCUCUUAACGAGGAACAAUUGGAGGGCAAGUCUGGUGCCAGCAGCCGCGGUAAUUCCAGCUCCAAUAGCGUAUAUUAAAGUUGUUGCAGUUAAAAAGCUCGUAGUUGAAACUUGGGCCUGGCUGGCGGGUCCGCCUCACCGCGUGCACUCGUCCGGCCGGGCCUUCCUUCUGAAGAACCUCAUGCCCUUCACUGGGCGUGUUGGGGAAUCACGACUUUUACUUUGAAAAAAUUAGAGUGUUCAAAGCAGCCUUUGCUCGAAUACGUUAGCAUGGAAAUAAUAAAAUAGGGCGUGCGUUUCUAUUUUGUUGGUUUCUAGAGACGCCGCAAUGAUUAACAGGAACAGUCGGGGGCAUCAGUAUUCAGUUGUCAGAGUGAAUUCUUGGAUUUACUGAGACUAACUACUGCGAAGCAUUUGCCGAGAUGUUUUCAUUAUCAGUGACGAAGUAGGGAUCGAGACGAUCAGAUACGUCGUAGUCCUACGUAACUAUGCGACUACGAUCGGGCGAUGUUCUUUUUUGUGACUCGCUCGGCAACUUACGAGA
RNAcentral lists this ribosomal RNA (1008 nucleotides) under Curvularia lunata. RNAcentral's name for it is "SSU rRNA". It matches the Rfam family "Eukaryotic small subunit ribosomal RNA", at positions 59 to 1095 of the family's 1831-position model. Lineage: Eukaryota; Fungi; Ascomycota; Dothideomycetes; Pleosporales; Pleosporaceae. The record is from RNAcentral.